RNAcentral lists this unclassified non-coding RNA (289 nucleotides) under uncultured fungus. RNAcentral describes it as "partial contains 5.8S rRNA, ITS2 and 28S rRNA". It matches the Rfam family "Eukaryotic large subunit ribosomal RNA", at positions 668 to 961 of the family's 3401-position model. The record is from RNAcentral. Lineage: Eukaryota; Fungi.
AAGGAGUCUAACAUAUCUGCGAGUAUUUGGGUGUCAAACCCGAGUGCGCAAUGAAAGUGAACGCAGGAGCCACGCGCAAGCUGCAGCAUCGACCGGUCUGGAUCUUUAGUGAUGAAUUUGAGUAAGAGCAUAUAUGUUGGGACCCGAAAGAUAGUGAACUAUGCCUGAAUAGGGCGAAGCCAGAGGAAACUCUGGUGGAGGCUCGUAGCGAUUCUGACGUGCAAAUCGAUCGUCAAAUUUGGGUAUAGGGGCGAAAGACUAAUCGAACCAUCUAGUAGCUGGUUCCUGC